Molecule: long non-coding RNA, 4795 nt
Organism: Equus caballus (horse)
Lineage: Eukaryota; Metazoa; Chordata; Mammalia; Perissodactyla; Equidae
Source: Ensembl
CCCACCUCACCCUCGCAGCAACCCCCUUCUACACCCGCCUCCACGGAACCCUGAUCCUGGCUCCCCUUCUCUCCGACCCCAGGCUGAAAACCACUGCCCGAGAUGUUCCGUGACAUAUUAGCUCCCUUCUUCAUAGGGUGAAUGGCUUCUGAGACCCCAAACCGGAACAGACCAUGUGUCUGAAUGCAGAAGCUGAGCCCCAGAGCCCAGGGCCCCAGGAGCCUGAGAGAAAGUGCCCUAAGGAGACCCCUGCCAGGUGAGGCCUAUCUCUGAGGGCUCUGUCCUUGCCUGGCGGCCCUCAAAACCUGGCUAACUGCUCACAGGCAAGUUGUGCCCUGGGUUUCCCCCACCAACUCCACACUUCACCCUGGGGGGAAGGGAAGGGUCACCAAAGUCCCUAACCCCUCCUUCAGGUGGGGGGCCUGUGCUCUCCCACCUCUGUCUCUUCAGCCUCCCCCUCCUCCUUGCUGAUCUCACCUGAGUCUCCCCUCCCCCGACAGGCAGGCGGGGAGCAAAGGAAGAGGAGAAGGCAGGACAGAUCUCCAGCUCCCUAUCUUCUGUGGGACCCUUUGACCCCUCAGCUGUCACAACUGACCUUUUCCAACUUCUCCUACCAGAGGCCCCACCCCCCACCAUGAAGCCCCUUUCCAGCCUGGAAUGUGAACUCCCCUUUCCGUGCCCCAAAUGUGGGAAGCGCUUCAGCCAGGGGGCCCAGCCUGACCCUGUACCUACACUCCCACACAGGUGACAGGCCCUGCUCCUGCAGCCGGUGUGGCCACAGCUCCUACCUGCCCCAGCCCCCGACACACAUGCCCACCAGUGUAGCAAGGGCUUCUCCCCAGAGCUCUGGCCGGCUGCAGCACACCACUGUUCACACAGGCACAUGGCCCUACGUCUGUGUCACCUGUGGAUGGGGUUCAGGAGCCACCCAGCCUCGUCUAUCGUGAGAAGACUCACUUAGUGAGCACAGCUUCCCCUGCCCCGAGUGUGGCAAGCACUUCACCCAGAGUGUCCGCUGAGCCCAGCACCUACGGACGGAUGCUCACAGGGGAGAAGCCCUACCUGUGCGGCUAGUGUGGCCAUGGCUUCAGCCAGCACCCCUGGCUCGUGGCCCACCAGUGGGUCCACCACUUGGUUCCUCUGCUGUCCCUGCCGGCCCACACCUGCUAGGUGUGCUCUUCCCUCGGGUGCGGGCAGUAGCCUGCUGCCACACAGUGCAGCACAUGAGAAGCCCUUCUUCUGCCCCCAGUAUCCCGAGGGCUCUGGCUACUCCAACCUGCAACACCACCAGCAGGACCACGGGGGGAGCGGCCCCACCACUGUGACCAGUGCAGCAAGGGCUUCAGACAGAGCUCAGGGCUGUGUGGCACCAGGGAGUCCACAGGGGCAAGACUGCGAGUGCAGUUUCCGGUCCAGCUCCGGCCUGGCGCAGCACCUGCAGGGCCGCUCUGGGGACAGGCCCUUCUGCUCUGGCGGCUGUGGCUUCACUCAGAGUCCCCAUCGACCUUGACAACAGGCCAGGGCUGGUGAGGAGCACAGGGAUGAACAUGGAGGGGGGGGACAUCUGGAGGCCAAGUCAAGGCCCCUGUGGGGAGCCAGCCCCCCAACUCCACAGCACUCUAGGAGGGUAGAGGGGCAGUUGGAAUGACUGCCUCUUCUGUGGGAGGCAUAAUGGAGCACAGCUUCCACCACACCCCAGCCAGAGCAACUUUCAGAGCAACCACAUUGGGUGGCCAGAGUGUCUCUGCUGGACCUACUCAAAGCUGGAAUGGCCAGGUCCACCUCACUUCUAGUCCAACGUGCCAGUUCCCCAGAGAGCUCCCGGCCUGGGAAAGAGCUCUCCCUGUUUCUUAGAAAGGACUCUGUACUUCUGAUCUUCUGUCCUCCGUCUGAGACAUUUAACCAGGAUGUCUGGGUCCUGCUGCCUCAUGGAUGGAUCCGAUUCCCUGGGAUUUUUUUGAAGGGAUCAUUUCAAAGAGAUAACUGAAUCCCCAUAGAUCUCCAUGACAACGCCCACCAUCAAAUCCUAGUCCCCCACUAACCCCUCCAACCCUCUCAUUUCCCCCGAGGCUUCUGGAUGCUUCUUGCCUCUGGUGCUAAAGCUACACCCAGCACACCUGUCUGAUGCUGCCAUCUCCCUAUGCCUACUCCUGGCCUUGCUAGGCCCUGUUUCAGGACCCCAGGGCUUCCUAAAACCUUCAUUGCACUUCAGUCUAGGAAUAAAGCCCAGAUGGAGGCUGCUCUUUCCAGCUGUACAGAGGCCUCCUAUUGAAAGGUGCAAAAGGGCAGAGGCAGGUGUCCAAGGAGAGGGCAGGGAUGUGGAGGAGAUGGAGACCGGAGGAAAAGCCAAAGGAGUUUGGAGGAGAAAGUGGGAGGUUCUGGAAUGUGGAGAAAAGACAGCAGGGCUGUGUGAGACAAGACCCACAAGAAACAUCUCAGAAAAACUUAGAAACAAAUGUCUUCAGGUACGAACAUCCCCGGGGAACCACUCAUUUCUUCUUCAGUUGACAAGUUUCCCCCAGUGUUGUGAAGGCACUGAGUUGCCAACACAAGCACUUCAUGUCCUGCCAUUUGCACUUUUUCCACAAAAUUGCUUGCUAACUGUCUUCUUCGUGUGUUGGCAAACUGAUUUUGAACAAAGAGUCAGGAGGGAGUCCCACAGCAGAGUCCCUUCCAGACUGGUGCCCCUGGCCCAGCCUGGCACUGAGGAGAGCGCUGUCAUCAUUCACCCUUUUAGAAGGUUCUGCUGGGGGAGUCACUCCCUGGCAACACUCACAGCAAGUUUAUGGUUACUGUUCAUGUUAAAGGAUAAGGUAGACCUCAGCUCUUGUAUUAACUUCCCCCAAAGUAUACUCUUUAGAACUGGGCAGAGUCCUCCCUAGGAGGUAUCAGAGGCUGAUUACUGACACACACACGAAGGAAUUAAAGAACUGGAGGGAUAAAAGGGUCACUGAGAGACUGCUAAUCAGUUUCACCCUUUCAGGAAAUAUGUAUUGAGUCCACCACGUGUCAGGGACUGUUCUGGGACCUGGGUAUUACAAACAGGCAUAUGAUGCAGCCCCCGCCUUCCACCGAUUUGAUCUAGGCGUGUUCAGCAUCUCAAUAUUGAACCCAGCAUCUAGUCCUAUCAAUUGUAUCCACUAUACUCUCUCAAGUAUGUCGUCUCUUUCCCACCCCUCCACCUCCCUUGUCCAGCUACCACCUGGACCAUCUGGUUCUCCUCUGAAUCAUCGUGAUGGCUGGAGAGGCUGGGAAUGGCGUUCUCUGUGAGCAGCACACCUGAGUAACAGAGGCCUCUUUGAAAUGUAAAUCUGAUUGUUUCAGGCACCCUGCUGAAGCCCAUUCAAUGGUUUCCCAUUGAUCUCAGGUUAAAGACCCCAGUCCUUAACCUGGCCUUUAAAGCUCUGCGAGGUGUGGCCGUGUCGGCCUCUCCAGCCUCAUCUCCCACCACUCACUCCUCUCUCCCUCGCGCAGAGCGCUCCACUUCCUGUCGGUGUCCCGCUUCCUCCCGCAGAGAGCGGCGGCCAGGCUGGGCCCUCCUCCUGAGAGGUGCUUUCUUCCAUUUCUCUCUUAGCUCCUCAUUCUUCGGAUCUCAGCUCCUUUACCACAUCCUUAGGGAAGGUACCCUAUCCUUUCCUUCAGGGUCCAAUUCCCUCCUCUGGGCUCCCACACCAAGGUGCACCUUUCUUGGAGGCACUUGGCACAGUUCAGUUCCAUAUUUGUUGGUGAUUAUUUGAUUGAUGUCUGUCUCCCCACAGACUGUAAGCUCCCUGAGGGUGGGCACCACGACUGCAGAGGCUCACUCUUGCUAUUCCCUGGAAACUCCAUAAAUAUUGAAAUAUUGGUUGAAUGGGUGCACAUGCGCCAGGAUCUGCGGCAGAGGCUAGAUAUUUCAGGAUUUCAGAGAGGGUGGAUUGAGGCCGUAAUUUCCCUCCAGCGGCUGCCGCCCAAGAGUCCCAUAUGCCAUUUCCUUAGCACCAUUCCUUUCUCCAUGUUUCCUGGUGUCAUCCAUCUUCCCAGCUCCACCUCUCCGGCACCCUCCUCACCUCCACCUUGCCUAGGAGAACCUUUCUCCCUUUAGUUUUUUAGUGCCCCUUCCUGGUCUUGGCUCCUUGGCUUCAGAAGCCAGCAUGGAAUAAUGAGGCAAUAGCACAGGAUUCAGAAACAAAAUAUCUGGAUUCAAUAACAAGGUUAAAAGUAUUAGCGGUGUGACCUUCAGCAGGCUAUUAAACCACUCGGAACCCUAGCUUACAUAAAAUGGGAACAACUUCGAAAUCAAGCAAGUUGGAGGAAUUAGAAAAUCUAAAAGCACCGUCAUCUAGAAAUACUGGAUAAAAUAUGAAAAAAAUUAAACAUAUGACUGAAUUCUCAAAAGGAAAGUAAAAUUCCAGGUGCCAGAAACAAAGAGGAAACUGAAAGCUGGAGGCUGAGCUGACUGUGGCCACGGUGACCAGAAGGCGGCUGGAGGGAAUGGGUUCUGUUAACUCAGGGCUUGAGUGCUUCCAGCCACCCGGGGACAGGAGACGAGGUCUUGGUCCUGAAGAGGUGGGGAAAUUAGAUGAAAGGAGCCAAAGCUGACUCAAGAAGAAAUUAAAAACCUGAACAGAUCUAUAAAUUCUAAUAAAUUAAAUGAGAAGCUAAAAAUGUACACGCACACAGCACCUAGAUGGUUCCUAGGUAUAUUAUUCUGCCAACUCUUAAAGGAACUAUUUAUUUAUUUAUUUAAACUACACCAGAUAACGGUAAAAGAGGAAAAUCUCACUUAUAAGACUAAAAGUCCUAAAUAAAAUAGUAG